AGUGAACGCUGGCGGUAGGCCUAACACAUGCAAGUCGAACGGCAGCACAGUAAGAGCUUGCUCUUACGGGUGGCGAGUGGCGGACGGGUGAGGAGUACAUCGGAAUCUACUUUUUCGUGGGGGAUAACGUAGGGAAACUUACGCUAAUACCGCAUACGACCUACGGGUGAAAGCAGGGGAUCUUCGGACCUUGCGCGAUUGAAUGAGCCGAUGUCGGAUUAGCUAGUUGGCGGGGUAAAGGCCCACCAAGGCGACGAUCCGUAGCUGGUCUGAGAGGAUGAUCAGCCACACUGGAACUGAGACACGGUCCAGACUCCUACGGGAGGCAGCAGUGGGGAAUAUUGGACAAUGGGCGCAAGCCUGAUCCAGCCAUACCGCGUGGGUGAAGAAGGCCUUCGGGUUUUAAAGCCCUUUUGUUGGGAAAGAAAAGCAGCAGGUUAAUACCCCGCUGUUCUGACGGUACCCAAAGAAUAAGCACCGGCUAACUUCGUG
This 492-nucleotide ribosomal RNA is filed under the name uncultured bacterium. Its description in RNAcentral is "partial 16S ribosomal RNA". It matches the Rfam family "Bacterial small subunit ribosomal RNA", at positions 29 to 507 of the family's 1533-position model. The record is from RNAcentral.